This 41-nucleotide ribosomal RNA is filed under the name Cordyceps sp. HMIGD 20927. RNAcentral describes it as "partial 28S ribosomal RNA". The record is from RNAcentral. Lineage: Eukaryota; Fungi; Ascomycota; Sordariomycetes; Hypocreales; Cordycipitaceae.
GUUGACCUCGAAUCAGGUAGGAAUACCCGCUGAACUUAAGC